RNAcentral lists this ribosomal RNA (240 nucleotides) under uncultured bacterium. RNAcentral's name for it is "partial 16S ribosomal RNA". The stretch from base 1 to 203 matches the Rfam family "Bacterial small subunit ribosomal RNA", at positions 112 to 311 of the family's 1533-position model. The record is from RNAcentral.
AACGCGUAUUGCNACCUACCUAUCAGAGGGGAAUAACCCGGCGAAAGUCGGACUAAUACCGCAUAAAACAGGGGCACCGCAUGGUGAUAUUUGUUAAAGAAAUUCGCUGAUAGAUGGGCAUGCGUUCCAUUAGGUAGUUGGUGAGGUAACGGCUUCACCAAGCCCGACNAUGGAUAGGUGGAACUGAGAGGUUGGUCCCCCACACUUGNUNCUUGAGACACCNGACCCAUACCUUCCUUA